RNAcentral lists this ribosomal RNA (253 nucleotides) under uncultured bacterium. RNAcentral's name for it is "partial 16S ribosomal RNA". It matches the Rfam family "Bacterial small subunit ribosomal RNA", at positions 524 to 776 of the family's 1533-position model. The record is from RNAcentral.
UACAGAGGGUGCGAGCGUUAAUCGGAAUUACUGGGCGUAAAGCGUGCGUAGACGGUAGCGUAAGUCAGAUGUGAAAGCCCCGGGCUCAACCUGGGAACUGCAUUUGAGACUGCUCUGCUCGGGUGCGGAAGAGGGAAGCGGAAUUUCCGGUGGAGCGGUGAAAUGCGUAGAGAUCGGAAAGAACACCAACGGCGAAAGCACUCUGCUGGGCCGACACUGACACUGAGAGACGAAAGCUAGGGGAGCGAAUGGG